Xyrauchen texanus (razorback sucker) is the source of this 393-nucleotide long non-coding RNA. RefSeq lists it as uncharacterized. NCBI's taxonomy places the organism in Eukaryota, Metazoa, Chordata, Actinopteri, Cypriniformes, Catostomidae. The record is from RefSeq and is a predicted model, not a curated record. The transcript is spliced from 3 exons.
CCCUCUGUGUAAAAUGCGUUCUUAUUCAAGUUUUCAACUCAGUCAUUCGUUUAAGAUGCAAUUUUGUGUUAUAAGUAUUAGGCUAUCAUGAUUAUACAGUGAGCAAGCUAUAUAAAUAAGUAUUUAAUAUAAUAAGUGUAGAGCAACAACCGAGGGUGUAAGGUAAAGGCUGAAUAUUGUAGAUUUAUUACAAUAUGUUGCAUGUUUGAAUUAAAAUACCUGUGGAUAUGCAGGAGCACACACUCUACAAAGGCCUGACUGGAGAUUUGCCUGAUCUAUCCGUCCUUCAGAUGACAGCGGCUCGCUUCAAGAGCAGGUGAAGCAAGUUGGGACAAUGUUGAAGACAUUUGCUCGCACUGGGCAAUCGGGUGCAGAUCAAACCCUAAUGCUGCG